Molecule: long non-coding RNA, 226 nt
Filed under: Hordeum vulgare
Lineage: Eukaryota; Viridiplantae; Streptophyta; Magnoliopsida; Poales; Poaceae
Description: long non-coding RNA (HVUL_LNC000704)
Source: RNAcentral
UAUCUUUUGAUUUUGAAUGUGUGCACAUGAAUUUUAGAUGGAAAUUUAUCGGCCUGGGCUAGGAAGAUAAUGGAGACUGCUACACAUGUUCCUUCGUUCCUCUGGAGCAAUAAAGAAGAUAUGGAAGCUGGGGCUUCAAUUGUAUCUCCCACACUUAGUAUACACACAUGAAUAUAGUUACAAGUCAAAUCACAUAUUGUGCUCAUUUCACAAUCUAAUGUAGGAC